RNAcentral lists this ribosomal RNA (253 nucleotides) under uncultured bacterium. RNAcentral's name for it is "partial 16S ribosomal RNA". It matches the Rfam family "Bacterial small subunit ribosomal RNA", at positions 524 to 776 of the family's 1533-position model. The record is from RNAcentral.
UACGAAGGGUGCAAGCGUUACUCGGAAUUACUGGGCGUAAAGCGUGCGUAGGUGGUGAGUUAAGUCUGUCGUGAAAGCCCCGGGCUCAACCUGGGAAUUGCAUUCGAGACUGAAUAGCUAGGGUGCGGUAGAGGGAAGCGGAAUUUCUGGUGUAGCGGUGAAAUGCGUAGAUAUCGGAAGGAACAUCAGUGGCGAAAGCGGCUUCCUGGACCAGCACCGACGUUCAGGCACGAAAGCGUGGGGAGCAAACAGG